Phyllostomus discolor (pale spear-nosed bat) is the source of this 616-nucleotide non-coding RNA. The record is from the annotation of a RefSeq genome assembly. NCBI's taxonomy places the organism in Eukaryota, Metazoa, Chordata, Mammalia, Chiroptera, Phyllostomidae.
GACCUGCUGGGGACUAGCCUUAUUGCAUUCAGUGUAUUCCAGGGAGCAAGGAUCAUUUUCUUCUGCCAGCAUGCUUUCUGCCACCUGUUCCAUUCUUGUGAUCUUAAUAGUCAGAGGGACCAGUGGAGACUCAGUGACCCAGACAGAAGGCCCUGUUACCCUGCCAGAGGAGAAAACUUUGACACUGAACUGCACCUACCAGACCACCUACAGUACUACAGAAUAUCUUUUCUGGUAUGUCCAGUAUCCAAAAAAAGAGCCUGUUCUUCUCCUGAAAAGCUCAUCGGAUAAUCAGGAGGUCCACAACAGAGGUUUUCAGGCCAAACUUGUGAAGACUGAGAAAUCCUUCCACCUACAGAGACCUUUAGUGCGAAUGGCAGACUCGGCGGUGUACUUCUGUGCUUUGAGUGACACAGUGCGGGAGUGCACAGGGGGAGCUGAGCACAAACCCAGAGGGGCUCACACGGGGCUGCAGGGGAGCAGCCUGGCUAUUCUGGGAGCCACAGGGAGAUUCUCUGGCUGUUCUCCAGAGGCAUACAGGUAUUUGACAGGGAAGUGGAGAUUAUAUUUUCCAAAUACAAACAAAAAUACUUGUUAUGGCAAAUAUGUCUACUAA